CGCAAUAGCAGUAAGUCAGUAACCCACCCAGUUGCUCGCGAUGGAAAAUUCGCCAUCAAUUUUCCCAUUUCAAUUUGAUUUUCAGAAGCUCUAAUUUCACGCAAACAAUUCGUAACAUAAAUUAAUUUCAUUGUAAAUGGCUGUAAUUUUCUCCUUUCAAAUCUUUUCAAUCCGUUAUUGUAAGAGAAAAGCAGUGGUUGUAAAGUUGUAAACCAUGUCCUUGAGGAGCGGCGGCGGCAGCAAUCAUAGUAAAGAAGACGAACGGAACAAGGAUACUUCUUCUUCACCUUCUACGCUGGAAUCAAGAUUCAAUCAAACUCUCAAAAAUGUUCAAGGGUAUGUGUUUAAUUUUUUACUCGUUAGAUCCAACAGUAAUUAACUUCUAAUUAACCCAGAAUUUUGUUACCAAAGGAAAUCCCAUUUCCCAGUUGGUAACGGGUUUCUUCUGUUUUGGUUCAGAAUUGAAUACCCAUUUGAAAAUUAAUACUGAAAAACCAAAUAGAAUUUAAUUUGAGAAUUCGUUUGAAUUUUAAUCUGGGGAUUAAUUUAACUUCUAUCGUGUUUGUUAGCUGAUACUUAAUGAUCUAAAUUCUAAUUUCAGUAGACGUGGUUGUUUACAUUGUAUAUUUAUGUAAAGUUUUUUCCUUCCUUUUUUUUUUUCGAAUUAUGGAAUCAUGGAACUGCGAUUUGUGUGUGCCAAUAGUGCAAUUAAAAUUGUAUACAUUGCUUAGUUUCGAUGGAUUGUUUCAGUUCUUAACGGUGAAUUAUGUGAUCAAUUUUUAAAUUUCUUUUUACAUUUUUAUUCUUCUUCAUAUUGAG
This 819-nucleotide long non-coding RNA is filed under the name Olea europaea subsp. europaea. Lineage: Eukaryota; Viridiplantae; Streptophyta; Magnoliopsida; Lamiales; Oleaceae. The record is from RNAcentral.